RNAcentral lists this ribosomal RNA (253 nucleotides) under uncultured bacterium. Its description in RNAcentral is "partial 16S ribosomal RNA". It matches the Rfam family "Bacterial small subunit ribosomal RNA", at positions 524 to 776 of the family's 1533-position model. The record is from RNAcentral.
UACGAAGGGGGCUAGCGUUGCUCGGAAUCAUUGGGCGUAAAGCGCACGUAGGCGGCUUCUUAAGUCAGGGGUGAAAUCCUGGAGCUUAACUCCAGAACUGCCUUUGAUACUGAGGAGCUUGAGUCCGGGAGAGGUGAGUGGAACUGCGAGUGUAGAGGUGAAAUUCGUAGAUAUUCGCAAGAACACCAGUGGCGAAGGCGGCUCACUGGCCCGGUACUGACGCUGAGGUGCGAAAGCGUGGGGAGCAAACAGG